CCGGGCGCUAUGGUUCAUGCCUGUAAUCCCAGCACUUUGGGAGGCCAAGGCAGGUGGAUCACCUGAGGUCAAGGGUUCCAGACCAGCCUGGUCAACAUGGCGAAACCCCAUCUCUACUAAAAAUACAAAAAUUAGCUGGGCGUGGGGGUGCACACCUGUAAUCCCAGCUACUUGGGUGGCUGAGCCAUGAGAAUCACUUGAACCUGGGAGGUGGAGGUUAUAGUGAACUAGGAUUGUGCCACUGCACUCCAACCUGGACAACAGAGUGAGACUCUGUCUCAACAAACAAACAAGCAAACAACCCAAGCCUGUCUCACUGGCAAAGGCUCAAGUGUCCUCUGAAUUAGCUGCACCCAAAGACCAUGCUCACUGCUAUGGAGAAGUGAAUCCCCCUAAAGGAGAUCCUGUCUGUGGGCUCUGAAGGUUUAGAAUCUAAACAGAACAACAGCUGGUCAAUGCUGGGAGCAGAGCAGCCCCAAGAGCUGGGAGCAGGUCCCCAGUUGGAGUCAGGAAACCCUAGCUCAGGCCUGGCUCAGCCACAAUAUGCCGCGUGAUGCUGGACCUCUGAUGCCGGGACUCAUGGUGACUUCACCCCUCUGAGCCUGUGCCCUUAUAUGCCCAGCAAGGGGCAGCCCUGCCCAGCCACCCACACAAUGAUGGUGUCAGGAGCAAAUGACACAAUACAAAUAAAAGUACUUUGAAAAUCUUAAAGUGCAAUAAUGACACAAAAGGUUAUUAGAAAGAGAAGCUCUAUGAGAUUAAAGGGGCAGGUCUCUAAC
RNAcentral lists this long non-coding RNA (779 nucleotides) under Homo sapiens (human). RNAcentral describes it as "HSALNT0301223". Lineage: Eukaryota; Metazoa; Chordata; Mammalia; Primates; Hominidae. The record is from RNAcentral.